CCGGGGGCCGCGCGGGGCCACUGAGCUACAACCAAUGUCAGCUCUUUCUGUGUGGCCACAGACCACACUUGUCUGUCUACUUUCUGUUUGAUCUUUCAGCAGUAACUUGCAAGUGACUCACUUGCCAUCAUGAAGUCUUUUUAAUACUCCUGUCUUUGGCUGGGAGUAUGGUCCUGUCUUUGGCUGGGAGUAUGGAUCGACCUGUCAACACCCAUGUUCAGCGGGGAAGCAAUUACAGAAGCCAGACCUUCCACCUUUUGCAUCC
Long non-coding RNA from Erinaceus europaeus (western European hedgehog), 265 nucleotides. RefSeq lists it as uncharacterized. NCBI's taxonomy places the organism in Eukaryota, Metazoa, Chordata, Mammalia, Eulipotyphla, Erinaceidae. The record is from RefSeq and is a predicted model, not a curated record. The transcript is spliced from 3 exons.